RNAcentral lists this ribosomal RNA (253 nucleotides) under uncultured bacterium. Its description in RNAcentral is "partial 16S ribosomal RNA". It matches the Rfam family "Bacterial small subunit ribosomal RNA", at positions 524 to 776 of the family's 1533-position model. The record is from RNAcentral.
UACGAAGGGGACUAGCGUUGUUCGGAAUCACUGGGCGUAAAGCGCACGUAGGCGGAUGUGUCAGUCAGGGGUGAAAUCCCGGGGCUCAACCUCGGAACUGCCUUUGAUACAGCACGUCUCGAGUCCGGAAGAGGUGGGUGGAAUUCCUAGUGUAGAGGUGAAAUUCGUAGAUAUUAGGAAGAACACCGGUGGCGAAGGCGGCCAUCUGGACGACAACUGACGCUGAGACGCGAAAGCGUGGGGAGCAAACAGG